GGAGAGGUGGCCGAGUGGUCGAAGGCGACAGACUGUAAAUCUGUUAGAAUUUUCUCCCGUUGGUUCGAACCCAACCCUCUUCA
This 83-nucleotide transfer RNA is filed under the name Urostyla grandis. Its description in RNAcentral is "tRNA-Tyr". It matches the Rfam family "tRNA". Rfam says of the family: Transfer RNA (tRNA) molecules are approximately 80 nucleotides in length. The record is from RNAcentral. Lineage: Eukaryota; Ciliophora; Spirotrichea; Urostylida; Urostylidae.